Molecule: ribosomal RNA, 430 nt
Filed under: uncultured bacterium
Lineage: Bacteria
Description: bacterial SSU rRNA
Rfam family: Bacterial small subunit ribosomal RNA
Source: RNAcentral
GAUGAACGCUGGCGGCGUGCUUAACACAUGCAAGUCGAACGAUGAUGCCANCUUGCUGGUGGAUUAGUGGCGAACGGGUGAGUAACACGUGAGUAACCUGCCCUUAACUCUGGGAUAAGCCUGGGAAACUGGGUCUAAUACCGGAUAUGACUCCUCAUCGCAUGGUGGGGGGUGGAAAGCUUUAUUGUGGUUUUGGAUGGACUCGCGGCCUAUCAGCUUGUUGGUGAGGUAAUGGCUCACCAAGGCGACGACGGGUGGCCGGCCUGAGAGGGUGACCGGCCACACUGGGAUUGAGACACGGCCCAGACUCCUACGGGAGGCAGCAGUGGGGAAUAUUGCACAAUGGGCGAAAGCCUGAUGCAGCGACUCCGCGUGAGGGAUGACGGCCUUCGGGUUGUAAACCUCUUUCAGUAGGGAAGAAGCGAAAGUG